This is a long non-coding RNA of Felis catus (domestic cat), 1167 nucleotides long. RefSeq lists it as uncharacterized. The transcript has 3 exons. Lineage: Eukaryota; Metazoa; Chordata; Mammalia; Carnivora; Felidae. The record is from RefSeq and is a predicted model, not a curated record.
UCCAAGCACAUUCACAAUUUGUUCUUUAAGCACCUUUAUGUUAGUCAUUUUAAAAUCCUCACCAGUAAUUUAAAAAGCUCCACCAUUUUGGUGUUGGCAUCUACUGAUUAUCUUCUUUUGUUCACUUUGAGAUAUUUUUGGUCUUAACAUGAUGAAUAGUUUUCAAUUGUAUCCUGGAUAUUUUGGGUACUGUGUGAAGAGAUUCUAGAUCUUACGUAAACAUUCUGUUUUAUCCGGGUUCCUGUUACACCAUUCUGGAGGGGAAGGGUACAGCUCUGCCUUAUUACUUCCAGGUUGCUGCCUUCUUAAGUUCCAAUUCUGGGAUACAUGCAGCAAAAAGAAAAUCCAGGAAACCCCCUGCCAUAUCAUUUUGCAGAGCAAUGUCAAGAACAAAAUCAAAAACCUAUGGAAGCCCACUGCAAAAUUAGAGGACAAGUUUUCCCUGUAAACCCUAAGACGAUCUACUCAGCUUCAAGAACUGCAGAAUAUCAGCACCUGUUUGAGAAAACUAAAUGGAAGCAGCAUGCCCUGAGAACACAAGAACCCCAAACUGACAACGGACAUUCCCUGCAAGUAUGCCUGCAAGGUCAAUGUGAAAACAGUAGAUGAAACUAGGGGGGCGGUUUACACAUUCUAAUUGGUGUGUGAGUGCAAAAGGCCCAUAGAAAAGUCCAAAGAAGUACAACAAUCUAUAUUCUGUACACUAUAAAAAAUAAAAGCAAAAACAAAAAGAGACAAAAUUCCUUUAAAAACACAUCUACAAUAAAGUAUAAAAUGCUGAGAACAGAAUCCAUACUAAAAGGAACCAUGGCAAUAAAGGGAGAAUGAUCCCGAUAAAUCAGUUAGGGAACAGAGUCAGGGGACUAUGGAAAGGAUAAGACUAAGUCAUAAUUUAGGGCACUUUACAAACACUGAGUAGUGAGCUCUAGAUGAAGGCAGAAACAUUUCUUGGUCUAUGCUUCUUCUAUUUUAAGUACAAAAAACCUAAAUCUAUGUAAGAAUGAGUAACAGGAAAGGAUCAUAGUUGAAUCAUGUGUGAUGUUAUUAUAAGGACAAAAGAAUGAAGAACAAAAUAAUGCUCUUACAGACAGUGUAAGUAUGCUGAUGAGAACAUACUAAAAAUACAUGCCCACUAGAGAAAAAGAAAACAAUAAUCAAAUUUUUCAC